This 53-nucleotide transfer RNA is filed under the name Ornithodoros savignyi. RNAcentral's name for it is "tRNA-Ser". The record is from RNAcentral. Lineage: Eukaryota; Metazoa; Arthropoda; Arachnida; Ixodida; Argasidae.
AAGGCUAACAAUUAGGCUGCUAACCUAAAAAUAAUGAAUUUCAUUUAGCCUUU